This 428-nucleotide ribosomal RNA is filed under the name Gemmatimonadota bacterium. Its description in RNAcentral is "Gemmatimonadetes bacterium partial 16S ribosomal RNA". It matches the Rfam family "Bacterial small subunit ribosomal RNA", at positions 355 to 776 of the family's 1533-position model. The record is from RNAcentral. Lineage: Bacteria; Pseudomonadati; Gemmatimonadota.
UAGGGAAUCUUCGGCAAUGGACGAAAGUCUGACCGAGCAACGCCGCGUGAGUGAAGAAGGUUUUCGGAUCGUAAAACUCUGUUGUUAGAGAAGAACAAGGACGUUAGUAACUGAACGUCCCCUGACGGUAUUUAACCAGAAAGCCACGGCUAACUACGUGCCAGCAGCCGCGGUAAUACGUAGGUGGCAAGCGUUGUCCGGAUUUAUUGGGCGUAAAGCGAGCGCAGGCGGUUUCUUAAGUCUGAUGUGAAAGCCCCCGGCUCAACCGGGAGGGUCAUUGGAAACUGGGAGACUUGAGUGCAGAAGAGGAGAGUGGAAUUCCAUGUGUAGCGGUGAAAUGCGUAGAUAUAUGGAGGAACACCAGUGGCGAAGGCGGCUCUCUGGUCUGUAACUGACGCUGAGGCUCGAAAGCGUGGGGAGCAAACAGG